Long non-coding RNA from Salarias fasciatus (jewelled blenny), 226 nucleotides. RefSeq lists it as uncharacterized. Lineage: Eukaryota; Metazoa; Chordata; Actinopteri; Blenniiformes; Blenniidae. The record is from RefSeq and is a predicted model, not a curated record. The transcript is spliced from 3 exons.
GCGUGGAUCUGCUGGGCCACGCUCAAGUGCCGCCGCCCUGCUGCUUUGAAGGUGUGGACGUCUGCAUCCCAGACUUCAGCCGGAGGAGCAUUCGCAUCAGAGAGGCCCGGCGGGUGAAGGUGGGCCACAUCGCCACAGGAAUCAGCGAUCAGAUCUCGGAGAGGGUGUUCACGCUGCAGACCCCGCACGGCUGGCACGUGGCGCACGACGACGAGGUGCAGGACUC